This 484-nucleotide ribosomal RNA is filed under the name uncultured bacterium. Its description in RNAcentral is "partial 16S ribosomal RNA". It matches the Rfam family "Bacterial small subunit ribosomal RNA", at positions 30 to 507 of the family's 1533-position model. The record is from RNAcentral.
AUUGAACGCUGGCGGCAGGCCUAACACAUGCAAGUCGAGCGGAUGAAGGGAGCUUGCUCCUGGAUUCAGCGGCGGACGGGUGAGUAAUGCCUAGGAAUCUGCCUGGUAGUGGGGGAUAACGUCCGUAAACGGGCGCUAAUACCGCAUACGUCCUGAGGGAGAAAGUGGGGGAUCUUCGGACCUCACGCUAUCUGAUGAGCCUAGGUCGGAUUAGCUAGUUGGUGGGGUAAAGGCCUACCAAGGCGACGAUCCGUAACUGGUCUGAGAGGAUGAUCAGUCACACUGGAACUGAGACACGGUCCAGACUCCUACGGGAGGCAGCAGUGGGGAAUAUUGGACAAUGGGCGAAAGCCUGAUCCAGCCAUGCCGCGUGUGUGAAGAAGGUCUUCGGAUUGUAAAGCACUUUAAGUUGGGAGGAAGGGCAGUAAGUUAAUACAUUGCUGUUUUGACGUUACCAACAGAAUAAGCACCGGCUAACUUCGUG